Molecule: long non-coding RNA, 1135 nt
Filed under: Bos grunniens (domestic yak)
Lineage: Eukaryota; Metazoa; Chordata; Mammalia; Artiodactyla; Bovidae
Description: lncRNA (ENSBGRG00000026468.1)
Source: RNAcentral
AUCAGCAGAGCGUGCCGGGCGCGCUGGUGGAUACCGGGAUUGAGGGCGGACCCCGCGGCAGGGAACGGGCCGUUCACCCUCCCGAGCAGCCCCGGCGCUCUGUAAGUAACUCGCCCCCAGUCGGGAGAGGGAAGGGCCGGGCGGCCCGGCGCGCGUCGGCCCGCGGUCGGGCUCUGCGCGCCGCUCGCGGUCCCUUUCCGCGUUGCAUCGGCGGCUCCUCCUCGCCCCGCUGGUUCAGCCCAGGAUUCGGGGGGCGGGAAGGAUCGCGGGGCAGGGGUGGGAGGUUGCCCCGGGUGGGAGGGAAGGGGAAAGGAAGACGCGCCCCCAGCUGACAGGCAAGCUUCCCAGGCGGCCACCGGGCGGCCGGGAUACCGGCCCUCCGCUAGCCCCUGGGGGCGCGCGCCCGGCCCCGCCGCCGCCGAGGACAGGAAGGGGCCAGCGUGGGGCUGGCCCCGGGGUGGGAAGCUCGGCCCACAGGCGGGGCUGCAAUUAGGCCGCCGCCGGAGCCGGGCCGCCGGCGUCCCACCUGCUGCGGGCCCGGCCGGGCGCGGCCGCCUCCUUCUUCCCGGCGGCCGGGCGUUGGGGGCGCGCGGGGCGGGAGCCGCGGCAGGUUCUCGCGCCGGCCCCGCGGGCCCCGCGGGCGCAGCAUCCUCCCCGGCGCGGUCCCCGCGGGGCCGGGAGCGCGGCGAUUGGCCGGCGCGGCCGGGGGCGGGGCCGGGCGGCCCGGUGCCUCGCGGACGCCUCAAAAGAGCCCAGGAAAGCGCAGAGCGCACUGGAGACCCAGCCCGCGCUCAGUCCGCCCCGGCGCCGGCCCGCUGGGUCUUGGGAAUUGCUGGUUCGCUUUGGCUCCCUCGCUUGUACAAACUCCUGGAUCUCACAUGCCUCUGUAACCCCCACUUCCACUCCAUGUCCCCAUGCUCCUGCGCCAGCAACAGGACCUGUUCUCUGGAUGUCAGCUGAGUUACUAAGGUGACUCUGCAUGUCAAGAGACAGACCUUGGUAGCCAGAACCUCAAGGCCCCUGGAGACCCCAUCCCUCCUUCUUUUUUUGUGCGUGUGGGUCCUCACUGAACAUUCAAACCUGUUUCUCCAAAGGGUUUUGCAAAAACUGAGACUGUUUCCCAAAGCAGAAGCGC